This is a long non-coding RNA of Lates calcarifer (barramundi perch), 374 nucleotides long. RefSeq lists it as uncharacterized. The transcript is spliced from 3 exons. NCBI's taxonomy places the organism in Eukaryota, Metazoa, Chordata, Actinopteri, Centropomidae. The record is from RefSeq and is a predicted model, not a curated record.
UCUGUGUCCCCACAGAUGGAAAAUAAUUAGUUUCUGUCACUGGAUGUAAAUCAUCAGGUUAAUUGACAGAUGCAGCCACAGUUUGUGUUUUGUUGUUUUCAGCUGCAGACUGAGGUGGAGCUGCUGUGAACAGACAUGAACCGUCAUAAAGACGUCGUUCUCUUUCUGCUUUGUGCACAAGGAUCAGGCGGCCCAGGUUGGACUUGAUCUGGAUUUGAGCACAGAGACACAAACACAGGAGCGUCAGACGGUGUGUUCCAGGUGUGUUCCAGGUGGAUGGAGGAGUGAUGAACCUUCCUGCUGUCUGUGCUGCGUCAGAGCUGAGUGACCUGUUCAGUUAAUAUACAAACAACAAACAUUCCUCUUUGUGAAGC